UAAUACGAAGGGGGCGAGCGUUAUUCGGAAUCACUGGGCGUAAAGCGUGCGUAGGCGGUUUUGUAAGUUAGAAGUGAAAGCCCAGGGCUCAACCCUGGAAUUGCUUUUAAAACUACAAAACUAGAAUCUCGGAGAGGAUAGCGGAAUUUCCAGUGUAGCAGUGAAAUGCGUAGAUAUUGGAAGGAACACCAGUGGCGUAAGCGGCUAUCUGGACGAGUAUUGACGCUGAGGCACGAAAGCGUGGGGAUCAAACAGG
RNAcentral lists this ribosomal RNA (256 nucleotides) under uncultured archaeon. RNAcentral describes it as "partial 16S ribosomal RNA". It matches the Rfam family "Bacterial small subunit ribosomal RNA", at positions 521 to 776 of the family's 1533-position model. The record is from RNAcentral.